GACGAACGCUGGCGGCGUGCUUAACACAUGCAAGUCGAACGAUGACGACCGAGCUUGCUCGGUCUGAUUAGUGGCGAACGGGUGAGUAACACGUGAGCAACCUGCCCUUCACUCUGGGAUAACCUCGGGGAAUCGGGGCUAAUACCGGAUAUGAGCUCCUGUCGCAUGGCGGGUGUUGGAAAGUUUUUCGGUGAAGGAUGGGCUCGCGGCCUAUCAGUUUGUUGGUGAGGUAGUGGCUCACCAAGGCGAUGACGGGUAGCCGGCCUGAGAGGGCGACCGGCCACACUGGGACUGAGACACGGCCCAGACUCCUACGGGAGGCAGCAGUGGGGAAUAUUGCACAAUGGGCGAAAGCCUGAUGCAGCGACGCCGCGUGAGGGAUGACGGCCUUCGGGUUGUAAACCUCUUUCAGCAGGGAAGAAGCGAAAGUGACGGUACCUGCAGAAGAAGCGCCGGCUAACUACGUG
RNAcentral lists this ribosomal RNA (467 nucleotides) under uncultured bacterium. RNAcentral's name for it is "partial 16S ribosomal RNA". It matches the Rfam family "Bacterial small subunit ribosomal RNA", at positions 28 to 507 of the family's 1533-position model. The record is from RNAcentral.